ACCAAUUCUGGGGGUAAAUACAAUACCUCCUGGUAUAAUGGCUUGGAACGCUAUAUAUAUUUUUUGUGGCUAUUAUCCUGAUUGAUGGCUUUUCUCAGUGCCAUUAGAUCGUGGAAACACCACAUACAUAC
Molecule: small nucleolar RNA, 131 nt
Organism: Tripterygium wilfordii
Lineage: Eukaryota; Viridiplantae; Streptophyta; Magnoliopsida; Celastrales; Celastraceae
Source: RefSeq, a predicted model, not a curated record